GGAAUUGAACGGGGGCCUGCACAAGCGGUGGAGCAUGUGGUCUAAUUCGAAGCAACGCGCAGAACCUUACCAGCGUUUGACAUCCUGAUCGCGGAUUAGAGAGAUCUUUUCCUUCAGUUCGGCUGGAUCAGUGACAGGUGCUGCAUGGCUGUCGUCAGCUCGUGUCGUGAGAUGUUGGGUUAAGUCCCGCAACGAGCGCAACCCUCAUCCCUAGUUGCCAUCAUUCAGUUGGGCACUCUAAGGAAACUGCCGGUGAUAAGCCGGAGGAAGGUGGGGAUGACGUCAAGUCCUCAUGGCCCUUACGCGCUGGGCUACACACGUGCUACAAUGGCGGUGACAGUGGGCAGCAACCGGGCGACCGGUAGCUAAUCUCCAAAAACCGUCUCAGUUCGGAUUGUUCUCUGCAACUCGAGAGCAUGAAGGCGGAAUCGCUAGUAAUCGCGGAUCAGCAUGCCGCGGUGAAUACGUUCCCAGGCCUUGUACACACCGCCCGUCACACCAUGGGAGUUGGUUUCACCCGAAGGCAGUGCUCUAACCCGCAAGGGAGAAGCGACCACG
Molecule: ribosomal RNA, 558 nt
Filed under: uncultured bacterium
Lineage: Bacteria
Description: bacterial SSU rRNA
Rfam family: Bacterial small subunit ribosomal RNA
Source: RNAcentral